RNAcentral lists this unclassified non-coding RNA (344 nucleotides) under air metagenome. RNAcentral's name for it is "partial contains small subunit ribosomal RNA and internal transcribed spacer 1". The stretch from base 1 to 46 matches the Rfam family "Eukaryotic small subunit ribosomal RNA", at positions 1786 to 1831 of the family's 1831-position model. The record is from RNAcentral.
AAGUCGUAACAAGGUUUCCGUAGGUGAACCUGCGGAAGGAUCAUUAUUGAAUUCAUCUACUGAGUUGCUGCUGGUUCCGAAAGGUUCAUGUGCACGCUUGGUCUUUGAUACCUUUCCACCUGUGCACUUUUGUAGGCAGCUUUGCCCUUGGUCGUCCGUCUGUAGUCAUACUUCGGUAUGGAUUGGAGUUUGAGUCGGUAAGCCGUCUCUCACUCUGGGACUUUGACCAAUAGCAGGGCUGACCUACGUUUUUCAUACACCCAAUUGCAAGUCUAGAAAGUCCAUUAUCGGUCGGAAGGCCUUUAAUCUUAACACAACUAUUGACAACGGAUCUCUUGGCUCAC